GUGCUCACUUCAGCAACACAUACACCAAAAUUGGAAUAAUACAGAGAAGAUUAGCAUGAUCCCUUGCACAAGAAUAAUAUGCAAAUCAGUCAGUGUGAAACACCUUAA
This 108-nucleotide small nuclear RNA is filed under the name Catagonus wagneri (Chacoan peccary). The record is from RNAcentral. Lineage: Eukaryota; Metazoa; Chordata; Mammalia; Artiodactyla; Tayassuidae.